This 252-nucleotide ribosomal RNA is filed under the name uncultured bacterium. Its description in RNAcentral is "partial 16S ribosomal RNA". It matches the Rfam family "Bacterial small subunit ribosomal RNA", at positions 524 to 776 of the family's 1533-position model. The record is from RNAcentral.
UACAGAGGUCCCGAGCGUUGUUCGGAUUCAUUGGGCGUAAAGAGCUCGUAGGCGGCUUGUCACGUCGGAUGUGAAAGCUCGGGGCUUAACCCCGGGUCUGCAUUCGAUACGGGCUAGCUAGAGUGUGGUAGGGGAGAUCGGAAUUCCUGGUGUAGCGGUGAAAUGCGUAGAGAUCAGGAAGAACUCCGGUGGCGAAGGCGGCCCGCUGGACCCCAUCUGACGCUGAGGCGCGAAAGCCAGGGAGCGAACGGG